GACGAACGCUGGCGGCGCGCCUAACACAUGCAAGUCGAACGAGCGAGAGAGAGCUUGCUUUCUCGAGCGAGUGGCGAACGGGUGAGUAACGCGUGAGGAACCUGCCUCAAAGAGGGGGACAACAGUUGGAAACGACUGCUAAUACCGCAUAAGCCCACGGUGCCGCAUGGCACAGAGGGAAAAGGAGCAAUCCGCUUUGAGAUGGCCUCGCGUCCGAUUAGCUAGUUGGUGAGGUAAUGGCCCACCAAGGCGACGAUCGGUAGCCGGACUGAGAGGUUGAACGGCCACAUUGGGACUGAGACACAGCCCAGACUCCUACGGGAGGCAGCAGUGGGGAAUAUUGCACAAUGGGGGAAACCCUGAUGCAGCGACGCCGCGUGGAGGAAGAAGGUCUUCGGAUUGUAAACUCCUGUUGUUGGGGAAGAUAAUGACGGUACCCAACAAGGAAGUGACGGCUAACUACGUG
RNAcentral lists this ribosomal RNA (466 nucleotides) under uncultured bacterium. RNAcentral's name for it is "partial 16S ribosomal RNA". It matches the Rfam family "Bacterial small subunit ribosomal RNA", at positions 28 to 507 of the family's 1533-position model. The record is from RNAcentral.